Neomonachus schauinslandi (Hawaiian monk seal) is the source of this 146-nucleotide small nuclear RNA. RefSeq annotates it as U4 spliceosomal RNA. The transcript has a single exon. The record is from RefSeq and is a predicted model, not a curated record. Lineage: Eukaryota; Metazoa; Chordata; Mammalia; Carnivora; Phocidae.
AGCUUUGCACAGUGGCAGUAUUGUAGCCAAUGAGGUUUAUCCGAAGCGUGAUUAUUGCUAAUUGAAAACUUCUCUAGCUUCAUUGUAAGAAUACAGUAUAUAAUACAAUAACAAACAUACAAAAUAUGUGUUAAUUGACUGUUUAU